This 165-nucleotide small nuclear RNA is filed under the name Capitella teleta. RNAcentral describes it as "U1 spliceosomal RNA". It matches the Rfam family "U1 spliceosomal RNA". From Rfam's summary of the family: U1 is a small nuclear RNA (snRNA) component of the spliceosome (involved in pre-mRNA splicing). The record is from Rfam by way of RNAcentral. Lineage: Eukaryota; Metazoa; Annelida; Polychaeta; Capitellidae.
AUACUUACCUGGUGCAGGGGACACCAUGAUCCUCAAGGUGGUUCCCCCAUCGUGAGGCUUGCUCAUUGCACCUACGAGUGGGCUGACCGGUGCGAUCACCCCAAAUGUGGGUGACUCGGGCGCGUCAUUUUUGCUAGUGGGGGACUGCGUUCGCGCUAUCCCCUG